GGUUAAGCGACUAAGCGUACACGGUGGAUGCCCUGGCAGUCAGAGGCGAUGAAGGACGUGCUAAUCUGCGAUAAGCGUCGGUAAGGUGAUAUGAACCGUUAUAACCGGCGAUUUCCGAAUGGGGAAACCCAGUGUGUUUCGACACACUAUCAUUAACUGAAUCCAUAGGUUAAUGAGGCGAACCGGGGGAACUGAAACAUCUAAGUACCCCGAGGAAAAGAAAUCAACCGAGAUUCCCCCAGUAGCGGCGAGCGAACGGGGAGGAGCCCAGAGCCUGAAUCAGUGUGUGUGUUAGUGGAAGCGUCUGGAAAGGCGCGCGAUACAGGGUGACAGCCCCGUACACAAAAAUGCACAUACUGUGAGCUCGAUGAGUAGGGCGGGACACGUGGUAUCCUGUCUGAAUAUGGGGGGACCAUCCUCCAAGGCUAAAUACUCCUGACUGACCGAUAGUGAACCAGUACCGUGAGGGAAAGGCGAAAAGAACCCCGGCGAGGGGAGUGAAAAAGAACCUGAAACCGUGUACGUACAAGCAGUGGGAGCCUCUUUAUGGGGUGACUGCGUACCUUUUGUAUAAUGGGUCAGCGACUUAUAUUCUGUAGCAAGGUUAACCGAAUAGGGGAGCCGAAGGGAAACCGAGUCUUAACUGGGCGUUAAGUUGCAGGGUAUAGACCCGAAACCCGGUGAUCUAGCCAUGGGCAGGUUGAAGGUUGGGUAACACUAACUGGAGGACCGAACCGACUAAUGUUGAAAAAUUAGCGGAUGACUUGUGGCUGGGGGUGAAAGGCCAAUCAAACCGGGAGAUAGCUGGUUCUCCCCGAAAGCUAUUUAGGUAGCGCCUCGUGAAUUCAUCUCCGGGGGUAGAGCACUGUUUCGGCAAGGGGGUCAUCCCGACUUACCAACCCGAUGCAAACUGCGAAUACCGGAGAAUGUUAUCACGGGAGACACACGGCGGGUGCUAACGUCCGUCGUGAAGAGGGAAACAACCCAGACCGCCAGCUAAGGUCCCAAAGUCAUGGUUAAGUGGGAAACGAUGUGGGAAGGCCCAGACAGCCAGGAUGUUGGCUUAGAAGCAGCCAUCAUUUAAAGAAAGCGUAAUAGCUCACUGGUCGAGUCGGCCUGCGCGGAAGAUGUAACGGGGCUAAACCAUGCACCGAAGCUGCGGCAGCGACGCUUAUGCGUUGUUGGGUAGGGGAGCGUUCUGUAAGCCUGCGAAGGUGUGCUGUGAGGCAUGCUGGAGGUAUCAGAAGUGCGAAUGCUGACAUAAGUAACGAUAAAGCGGGUGAAAAGCCCGCUCGCCGGAAGACCAAGGGUUCCUGUCCAACGUUAAUCGGGGCAGGGUGAGUCGACCCCUAAGGCGAGGCCGAAAGGCGUAGUCGAUGGGAAACAGGUUAAUAUUCCUGUACUUGGUGUUACUGCGAAGGGGGGACGGAGAAGGCUAUGUUGGCCGGGCGACGGUUGUCCCGGUUUAAGCGUGUAGGCUGGUUUUCCAGGCAAAUCCGGAAAAUCAAGGCUGAGGCGUGAUGACGAGGCACUACGGUGCUGAAGCAACAAAUGCCCUGCUUCCAGGAAAAGCCUCUAAGCAUCAGGUAACAUCAAAUCGUACCCCAAACCGACACAGGUGGUCAGGUAGAGAAUACCAAGGCGCUUGAGAGAACUCGGGUGAAGGAACUAGGCAAAAUGGUGCCGUAACUUCGGGAGAAGGCACGCUGAUAUGUAGGUGAAGCGACUUGCUCGUGGAGCUGAAAUCAGUCGAAGAUACCAGCUGGCUGCAACUGUUUAUUAAAAACACAGCACUGUGCAAACACGAAAGUGGACGUAUACGGUGUGACGCCUGCCCGGUGCCGGAAGGUUAAUUGAUGGGGUUAGCGGUAACGCGAAGCUCUUGAUCGAAGCCCCGGUAAACGGCGGCCGUAACUAUAACGGUCCUAAGGUAGCGAAAUUCCUUGUCGGGUAAGUUCCGACCUGCACGAAUGGCGUAAUGAUGGCCAGGCUGUCUCCACCCGAGACUCAGUGAAAUUGAACUCGCUGUGAAGAUGCAGUGUACCCGCGGCAAGACGGAAAGACCCCGUGAACCUUUACUAUAGCUUGACACUGAACAUUGAGCCUUGAUGUGUAGGAUAGGUGGGAGGCUUUGAAGUGUGGACGCCAGUCUGCAUGGAGCCGACCUUGAAAUACCACCCUUUAAUGUUUGAUGUUCUAACGUUGGCCCCUGAUCGGGGUUGCGGACAGUGUCUGGUGGGUAGUUUGACUGGGGCGGUCUCCUCCUAAAGAGUAACGGAGGAGCACGAAGGUUGGCUAAUCCUGGUCGGACAUCAGGAGGUUAGUGCAAUGGCAUAAGCCAGCUUGACUGCGAGCGUGACGGCGCGAGCAGGUGCGAAAGCAGGUCAUAGUGAUCCGGUGGUUCUGAAUGGAAGGGCCAUCGCUCAACGGAUAAAAGGUACUCCGGGGAUAACAGGCUGAUACCGCCCAAGAGUUCAUAUCGACGGCGGUGUUUGGCACCUCGAUGUCGGCUCAUCACAUCCUGGGGCUGAAGUAGGUCCCAAGGGUAUGGCUGUUCGCCAUUUAAAGUGGUACGCGAGCUGGGUUUAGAACGUCGUGAGACAGUUCGGUCCCUAUCUGCCGUGGGCGCUGGAGAACUGAGGGGGGCUGCUCCUAGUACGAGAGGACCGGAGUGGACGCAUCACUGGUGUUCGGGUUGUCAUGCCAAUGGCACUGCCCGGUAGCUAAAUGCGGAAGAGAUAAGUGCUGAAAGCAUCUAAGCACGAAACUUGCCCCGAGAUGAGUUCUCCCUGAGACUUUAAGUCUCCUGAAGGAACGUUGAAGACGACGACGUUGAUAGGCCGGGUGUGUAAGCGCAGCGAUGCGUUGAGCUAACCGGUACUAAUGAACCGUGAGGCUUAACCUU
RNAcentral lists this ribosomal RNA (2905 nucleotides) under Escherichia coli. RNAcentral describes it as "23S ribosomal RNA". It matches the Rfam family "Bacterial large subunit ribosomal RNA". The record is from RNAcentral. Lineage: Bacteria; Pseudomonadati; Pseudomonadota; Gammaproteobacteria; Enterobacterales; Enterobacteriaceae. RNAcentral also lists the same sequence under 2 other names.